Long non-coding RNA from Micropterus dolomieu (smallmouth bass), 477 nucleotides. RefSeq lists it as uncharacterized. Lineage: Eukaryota; Metazoa; Chordata; Actinopteri; Centrarchiformes; Centrarchidae. The transcript has 3 exons. The record is from RefSeq and is a predicted model, not a curated record.
GUGAAACACAUUAGGGUAAUCAGCAAAGAAAGGAAAUAAAGCUCAAUAAAGAAAACAGUAUGUAAAGCAUGCAACACUUGAGGAUUUAUUUGACAAAGAAAACACAGAAUGAACGAACAACUGACACAAUGAAACAUAAUUACGGACAAAAGGACAAUACAGAUGUGAUGAAAAAACACAAGAUAAUCUGUGAUGCUGACUGCAUAUUCAGCAAUAGAGGCAAAGUGGCCUGGCUUGGUUCAUGACUCGCAAAUCCUUCAGACCUCUACAAUUCACCAGCAACUAUCACAAGCGAUACACCACUCGUAGUGUUCCUGCCUGGCUUGUUUGGAAUGCUUUCUUGAAGUCCCCAAGUCUCCAGCACCGUUGGCGACAUCUUCUGGAUCUACUUAACUGUGCCCUGUGAGCGUGCCACAGUACCGUGCACAUCCAUGCUUUUGGGUGACAAUGAUCUAGAGAGCAUUGCUGGAUCGCACA